Molecule: RNA transcript, 10482 nt
Organism: Eupeodes corollae
Lineage: Eukaryota; Metazoa; Arthropoda; Insecta; Diptera; Syrphidae
Gene: slo
Gene name: calcium-activated potassium channel slowpoke
Exons: 28
Source: RefSeq, a predicted model, not a curated record
UCACGUUUUAGCUAACACUUGUGUCGCUAUCGCCUUCGCUGUCGCUAUUGCUGCUCUCGUACCGUACCGCCAACGGAUCGCUUCUCUAUUACUAUACCGGGGCUUGUUAGCUAGAAGUGUUGUAUUUUUGUUUUUAUUUUUAUUUAGGCAUCAUUAUGUCUUUGGCAGUGAAUUAUAAUUAUCGGCCUUUUGGAUGAAGCUUUCAGUCUUUUUUUGUUGUUCAACGUGUCGUUGUUUUUAAAAAUAAAUCAAGUUGGGAUCUAUUUUGGGGUUGUUGGGUGUCCAAUCGGAUUGGCUUUGCUUUGGGCGGGUUACGCAUCUUUUUUAAGAGUCUUCACGCCUCGCACGGAGCCGCACCGUUGCUGACAGAAAAUGAUGAAAGAAUUGGCUGAUUGUUUGGGGAUGUCGCGGUGUGACGAAAGCGGAGUUGAAGCAGCAUCAACAGAAACAACCGAUUCACCAUAUGAAGAUGACGAUUGUCUCAAAGUACGAAAAUACUGGUGUUUCCUUUUGUCCAGCAUCUUCACAUUUCUCGCUGGAUUAUUGGUUGUAUUGUUAUGGCGGGCGUGUGCGUUCAUAUGCUGCCGCAAGGAGCCCGAACUUGGACCAAACGAUCCAAAACAGAAAGAACAAAAGGCAUCCAGAAACAAACAAGAGUUCGAAGGAACUUUUAUGACAGAAGCAAAAGACUGGGCUGGUGAACUUAUAUCCGGUCAAACAACAACUGGUCGAAUUUUGGUGGUUCUCGUGUUUAUUCUCAGCAUUGCAUCACUUAUCAUAUAUUUUAUUGACGCAUCUAGCGAGGAAGUUGAGAGAUGUCAAAAGUGGAGUAAUAACAUUACGCAACAAAUCGAUCUCGCAUUCAAUAUAUUUUUUAUGGUUUACUUUUUUAUACGAUUCAUAGCGGCGUCCGAUAAACUUUGGUUUAUGUUAGAAAUGUACAGUUUUGUAGAUUAUUUUACAAUACCCCCGUCCUUUGUAUCAAUAUAUUUAGAUCGGACAUGGAUCGGUCUCCGAUUUCUUCGUGCGCUUCGUCUUAUGACUGUCCCAGAUAUUUUACAAUAUUUAAAUAUACUAAAAACAUCGAGCUCUAUACGAUUGGCUCAGUUAGUAUCAAUUUUUAUAUCAGUAUGGUUAACAGCAGCGGGCAUAAUACACUUGCUGGAAAACUCUGGCGAUCCGCUAGAUUUUAAAAAUCCUCAUCAAUUAUCCUAUUGGACCUGUGUCUAUUUCCUAAUUGUGACCAUGUCGACGGUAGGAUAUGGUGACGUUUACUGUGAGACUGUUUUAGGAAGAACGUUUUUGGUGUUCUUUCUACUCGUCGGCUUGGCUGUGUUCGCUAGUUGGAUUCCAGAAAUCACUGAACUGGCUGCCCAAAGAAGCAAAUAUGGUGGGACGUAUAGCAAGGAUCCUAGAAAAAGACACAUUGUGGUAUGUGGUCAUAUAACGUACGAAUCGGUGUCACAUUUUCUAAAGGAUUUUCUACACGAAGACAGAGAAGAUGUGGACGUUGAAGUAGUAUUUUUACAUCGAAAACCACCCGAUCUGGAAUUGGAGGGUUUGUUUAAACGACAUUUUACCACAGUGGAAUUCUUCCAAGGAACAAUUAUGAAUCCGAUUGAUCUACAGAGGGUGAAGGUUCACGAAGCUGAUGCCUGCUUGGUUCUAGCAAACAAAUAUUGCCAAGAUCCAGACGCCGAAGAUGCUGCCAAUAUUAUGAGAGUUAUCUCAAUUAAAAAUUACAGUGAUGAUAUUAGGGUUAUUAUUCAAUUGAUGCAAUACCAUAAUAAGGCAUAUUUACUAAAUAUUCCUUCUUGGGAUUGGAAACAAGGAGACGAUGUCAUUUGUUUAGCUGAAUUAAAACUUGGCUUUAUAGCGCAAAGUUGUCUGGCACCAGGUUUUUCAACGAUGAUGGCGAAUCUUUUCGCUAUGCGAUCGUUUAAAACAUCAGCAGAUAUGCAAUCGUGGACAAACGAUUAUCUACGCGGAACUGGAAUGGAAAUGUAUACUGAAACAUUGAGUCCUACUUUUAUCGGAAUACCAUUUGCUCAGGCUACUGAGCUCUGCUUCACAAAACUAAAACUCUUGCUGUUAGCAAUCGAAAUCAAAGGUGCUGAAGAAGGUGCAGAUAGUAAAAUAUCUAUUAAUCCUCGUGGUGCAAAAAUCCAGGCGAAUACUCAAGGAUUUUUCAUCGCCCAGAGUGCCGAUGAAGUGAAAAGAGCUUGGUUUUACUGUAAAGCUUGUCACGAAGACAUAAAAGACGAAACCCUAAUUAAAAAGUGUAAAUGUAAAAACUUGGCUACCUUCAGGAAAGGCGUCCGUGCCGUACAAAUGGUAGGACGUGCAAAUGAUGAAUACUCUCUGACAAAUGACCAUCAUCCCGCACCUACAUUUACUCCUCCAGAACUACCCAAAAGGGUGCAUGUGCGUGGAUCAUCAUCGGGUGACAUUACAAGAGAUCGGGAAGAUAUGAGUCUUAUAAAUCGAAACGGGCGUCGACCAAAUGGUACAAAUAAUGGUGGAUCAACGUUACAAAUAAAUUCUACCACAAAACAGGUGAACAAGGUGAAACCAACAGUGAAUCGAGGUCAAAUCGAAGGCACACUUAUGUCACCAUCAACAUACAACAGGCCUUCAGAAACCGAUGCUAAUCCUUAUGCGGGCUAUCAACUUGCUUACGAAGUUAAAAAGCUCAUGCCGACUAGUCGUAGCUCGGGUACUGCACAAAAUCAGCCAGGUAGUGUUACACUGCCGGCUGGUAUUGCUGAUGAUCAAUCGAAGGACUUCGACUUCGAGAAGACCGAGAUGAAGUACGACUCGACUGGGAUGUUCCAUUGGAGUCCGGCGAGAAACCUAGAAGACUGUAUAUUGGAUCGAAAUCAAGCGGCAAUGACGGUCCUUAAUGGUCACGUAGUAGUUUGUUUGUUCGCUGAUCCAGAUUCACCAUUGAUAGGACUGCGUAACUUGGUUAUGCCAUUGCGUGCGUCAAAUUUUCACUAUCACGAACUGAAGCAUGUGGUGAUAGUUGGUUCAGUUGAUUAUAUUCGAAGAGAAUGGAAGAUGUUACAGAAUCUACCAAAAAUAUCAGUUCUUAAUGGAUCGCCAUUGAGUAGAGCUGAUUUGAGAGCUGUCAAUGUGAACCUAUGUGAUAUGUGUUGUAUUCUAUCGGCCAAAGUUCCUAGCAAUGAUGAUCCAACGUUAGCCGAUAAGGAAGCAAUUUUAGCGUCAUUAAAUAUAAAAGCGAUGACAUUCGAUGACACAAUCGGUGUAUUGAGUCAACGUGGUCCAGAAUUUGAUAAUCUAUCGGCAACAGCCGGAAGUCCGAUAGUAUUGCAGCGAAGGGGUUCUGUUUAUGGUGCAAACGUUCCAAUGAUAACAGAACUGGUUAAUGAUAGUAACGUGCAGUUUCUCGAUCAAGACGAUGACGAUGAUCCCGAUACAGAACUUUAUUUAACACAACCGUUCGCUUGCGGUACUGCGUUCGCUGUUAGUGUAUUAGAUUCAUUGAUGUCAACGACAUAUUUCAAUCAAAACGCCUUAACAUUGAUAAGAUCGCUCAUAACGGGUGGCGCUACACCAGAACUGGAGUUGAUCCUGGCUGAGGGUGCUGGUCUCAGAGGUGGAUACAGUACGGCCGAAAGUUUAAGUAAUCGCGAUAGGUGCCGAGUGGGUCAGAUUUCAUUAUACGAUGGGCCAUUAGCUCAAUUCGGAGAAUGUGGCAAAUAUGGAGAUCUUUUUGUGGCUGCUCUGAAAUCCUAUGGCAUGCUAUGUAUUGGUCUUUAUAGAUUUCGAGAUACAAGUUCGAGUUGUGAUGCGAGUAGUAAACGUUAUGUUAUAACAAACCCACCCGAUGACUUUUCCUUACUGCCAACCGAUCAGGUAUUCGUUCUAAUGCAAUUCGAUCCUGGCUUAGAAUAUAAGCCACCAGCCGUACGAGCACCAGUUGGGGGACGGAGUGCAAACACACAAGGCUCAGGGUAUUUUCACAAAUUAUGAACAAAAAUCUUCAGUUUAUUGAGUAACAUUUCAAAAAUGGCUUUUUAAUUUAAUUUUACCCUUAAGUUUAUUUUUUAAUCAUCUACAGUUUUUCUCAUCUUAAUGGUGUGACGUAAGCAAUUGGGAACCAUUAGUAAGGUAAGCUACACAUUAAAUACAAUUUUUAAGGAAACAAAUUAAAAAUUAAAACAAAAAACAAAACAAUUUAGUAAUAAAAUUUUAUAUAAAAAGAAAACAAAAUAAUAACUAUCCAAGUUAAACACACAAAAAAACCAUUCACACAAAGUAUUUCAAAAUACACAAAAACGAAAUCCAAAUACGAACAUUUUUCUCUGACAAAAACUGCUUUGAUACUAAACCAAAACAAAAAAUCUAGUCUCUACUCUAGCAACGGCAUUUCUUAGAAGUAGCUCUUAAUAAAAAUAAGUUUAUAUAUAAAAUUAUAAAAAAAAAAACAAAAAAUAUUUAAACAAAAAAAAAUAAAAUAAAUAGAAAAACAUAACUAAUGAGUGGAAAAAACAGGCCGUAAAAAAUAAAUUGCGUCUAAUUUUUAAAAAUUUAAUACUCGAAAUUUAAUGCUUUCUUCUAGAACAAAUUUAAACAAAAAGAAUCGGAUUUACAACACAAAAAAGAAUAACAAAAAUUAAAUGAAAAUAACUUCUAAAAAUAAAAAUAUUAUUUACAAAAAAAUCUCCAUUGUAUAUUACAAUCCCUAAAAACAAAAACAACGUGAAUAAAUAAUAUAUAGAAGUACAUGGGAAUAUCUUAACACAAAUUCAUCAUUUUUUGAUCAUCGCCAUAAAAUAUGGAAAAAUGUUUUUAAAAAAUAGAUAUUUCAAAGUCAAACAAUCAAUUCUUCGUUUAUUUUUUUUAUAAAUAUGAAAUCUUAAUGAACAAUUGUUUAUCUAAGAUUCUUUAUAAAAAUAAAAAGGUAGACAAAUUUAAGAAAAUACCGACAACAGUUUAAAAAAUAAAAAAAAUGUAGAAAACAACAUCUUACCUACCUAAACAAAAUAAAAGAAUCAAACUCAAACAUUUCUCUUUUUAAGAUAUUUUUUUAUUUAUAUAAAAUACAAACAAAAAAUUUUAACUAACAAUAUUAUACUUUUACUAAAUAAGACUUAAAUAAAAUAACUGACACAGUAAUAAUAGAAAUAUUAAUAAUUAUAUUUGUUCCAAAAACUUGUUCGUAAAUUUGUUUUAAUAUUAUUCAUUGUUAAAAUGUAAAUAAUUUUUAAUGCUGUUAAAUUUUUUUAAAAAAUGCUUUAAUAACUUUUUUUAUAAAGAAAAAAACAAAAAAUGAGAUGUUAGUAAGUUAGGUUUUAUAUAAUUUUAAAAUUUGUUUAAUAUCUUCUUUUUUAGUUAAUUUUUUUUUCAUUUUGUGUGUUUUUACUUUGAUGUGGUAGAAAUAGAAAUUUUUGUUUAUUUCAAAGAUUUGUGAAAAUUUGAACGAUUGUUGAGGUUUAGUUUUAAAUUUGAAUGAAAUAUGGAAAAGCAAUUUAUUAGUAUUAUUUAUGUAGGUGAAUAGAUUUAUAAAGGGAUCAAUAAUAAUAACCUAUUUCAAUACUUGAUAAAACAUUUACUCUCCAAAAAUAUCUACUACAAACCUUAAUUCUUAAAAUUUUAUUUAAUUACUUCAAUUACAACGUUAAGUUCAACAUAAGCAUUUUGAAUACACACCUAAACAUCAAGACAUAUUUUACAACUACGUCAUGGCCUUCAUGUUUCAUGGGUGCUAACUCAUAAACUAAACUGAGACAAACCUUUAAUUGCAACAUGGCAAAACUUAAUUAUCUUUUCUUUCGUUUUCUCUUGCAAAAUAAGCCCAGUUAGUCCAUUUUCAUUCAAAAAAGUAAAUAAUAUCUACAGUAAAAGAUUGAUUUGUUUCCCCAAUGGAAAACACAUACAUAAUUCCAAAUGCACAACCACCACGUACCAACAUUUAAAAACAAAAUCACAUAAGAUCCAUUCGAGACUCGUAUAACUGUCAAAAACCUAUCCAUAGUAAGAUUCUACUCUAACUUUUAUCGGUGUUAUUCAUAUUAUGGACAUUGUUUUUGUUAUCAGUGUAAGAUCCUACAAUACUAUGGAUAGAUCUCCCAACAAAACACGGGGAUUGUAAAAAACGAGUCUUUUCUAAAAGAAAUCGAUAAAUGAAACAUUUUUAACUACCUGCCCCAAGACUAAAUUUGUUAAUGUCUUGAGCCCAUUAGGAAGCAUCAACAAAGACCUUAUCUUUCACUAAACCUCAAAGUUAAAAGUCUUGAAGUGUUUAAUCAAAAAAAAAACAUUCGUGACCAAUUGUGAGGAAUAGUACGUACGAAUCACAACGACAGUUGCUCACAAAUUUAACACGUUGAGAAUGAAACGGCUUUUUAACAAUAAUUUUGGAAUUUUUAUUAUUAAACAAUAAUGAGCUCCAUCAUGAAAAUCCGGAUCAUUUUAAUUCAUUUUUCAACUAAUAAGUGAUCUUACUGGCAAUAAAAUUGCGCUUUUCCAAAGGGGUUUUGGUGACCUUAAUUCAAAUUGAGACAUUACUUUUUAAAGUUGAAAAAGGUGAUGAUUUUCCAAAUCCUUAAUCCCUUUCUUCAAUAUUCAGUUGAAAUGUAAAACAAUUUAAGCUAACAUGAUUUCCGACAGAAAAAAGCAAAAGUAAGUUUUGCUCUGGUUACGAAUCUGUAGGCUAAACUGAUACAUUGCCAACCACUAGGUUUAGGCCAGAAAUUUUGAAACCGAUUUUUGCUUAUAAUAUCUGGUGGAAGUGUUGUACACGAAAACUUUUAGUACCUCUAAAUGGGUACAUAAAUUGGAAACGGGCGUUGGUAUUUCCCAAGAACAAAACAACUACUUUAAAAUUGUAUAUAAAAGUACUUCACUAGGAUGAGGCCCACAUGCAAUAUUUCAGAAAAAGAAAAAAAAAUAUUUAUAAAGUAUUUGCAUUAUAUAUUUUAACAACAUUUACUUGUAAUGUUUUUUAACAAUACUUAUGACUAUGUUCACCAUUUUGGAAUAAAACCUCUAUAAGACGGUUUAGAAUAGAAACAUUCAAUUUGUUUUAUCUACUGUUAUAAAAAUAAGUCGGCUUUUCCUUCCUAACGCUAUAACUCCAGAAUGCACGAACCGAUUUCCACGGUUUUGAAUUCGUUGGAAAGGUCUCAGGCUGAGGUUUAUAGCAGAUAUAAUUCAGGAAACAAUUCAACAGCAAAGCGGUGAACUUCGUUUAGCUUCCCAUAGGAAGCUAUUGUAAAAGUUCCGAUUUGUGGAAUUGAAUUUUUUUUAAUUUUUUGACGUUUCAAGGCCCCUAUAUAUUCUAAACCAAAGCUUACUUUUGGUAACCUUUUUUAAUCACCCAUAUCUCUAGAAACGUCAGAGAUAUCUUUUUCAAAUAACGUAUCUACAAUGAAUGAAUGAUUCUGAUUGAGGAUCAAUGCUUGACUAUUGCAAACUGAUUAAAGUAGGAAUGAUUGCACCAAAUCGAUCGAUACAUAAUGCAUUGAACCAAUAAUUAAAUCGAGAGCUGCAAUACAAUAUUGAUACAUUGCAGGAAUUCAUUCAAAAUAAUGUGCCGUAUACUAAACAUUAAUGGAAGCGGUGGACAAUAAUACUGGUGGUCUAUUCUUCCUGGAGGAACAGGGAAAACAUUUGUCAGUUCAUUGAUUUUGGCCAAUAUUCGAUCAAGAUGUGAGAUAGCUUUGGCUUUAGCAUCAUCUGGAAUUGCGGCAACUCUUCUAGAUGGCGGUCACUCAAUUUAAACACAUUUGAUACUUCAACAUGCCAUAUUUCCCGAUCCAGUACAAUAGGAAAAUUGUUGAUGGAAUGCCAGCUCAUUGUUAUAAGAAAUCACUUGAAGCACUUAACUUCACACUGAAGUUUCUUCGACGAAGCGACUUGAUAAUAUUGUUGGCAGACGGUUUCAGGGAGACGUUGCCAGUAAUUUCCCGUGGAACGCCUGCAGAUAAAUUGAAUGCUUGCCUGAAAGCAUCACUAUUGUGUAAUAACGUAAAAACAUUAUCGCUAACCAUUAAUAUGGGUGUUUAACUUCAAAAUAAUCAAAGUGCUGCACAAUUUUCCAAACAAUUGUUAGCUGUUGGAAAUGGAAAAGUGCAAGUUGAUGCGAAAACUGGAUUAAUUACUCUUACCAACGACUUUUUCCGAUUUGUAGACUCUCAAUUAGCUCUUAUUGAAAAUGUUUUCCCAAACAUUCGUGAGAAUUAUCAGAAUUAAGUUAAGUUAACGAGCAAUUCUCGCGUCAAGGAAUAAUGAUGUACACGCUCUAAAUUUCCCCAUUCGCUUGCUAUUUGGUGACAUACAAAUCCGUUGAUUCUAUAAGAAAUCCCGAUAAUGUCGUAAAUUAUCCAACGGAGUUUUUGAACUCUCUGGAGUUACCAGGAUUUCCACCACAUAACUUGCAACUCAAAGUUUUUUUCAGUUAUUAUGAUAUUGCGUAAUUUGAAUCCACGUAGGCUUUGCAACGGUACUCGACUUGCUGUAAAAAGACUUAUGCCGAAUUUUAUUGAGGCAACCAUUAUUAACGGAAAGUACGCAGGUGAAAAUGUAUGUAUUCCUCGAAUAUCAAUGAUUCCGACUGAUCUUCCGUUUGACUUCAAACGAUUAUAAUUUCCGGUUUGCCUUGCGUUCGCAAUGACAAUUUACAAGUCGCAAGGCCAAUCGCUUAGUGUUUGCGGGAUAAAUUUAGAAAAUCAUUGUUUCUUACAUGUGUUCACGUUAGACGAAAAAACAAAAAAAGUUGCUUACCAAAGAGCACUUCCAUCGAAAUGGAGUUCACCGGGUUUUUUAGUAUUUUAUGAUAUUUAUAUUUAUAUUAAUUCCAAAAUCAUAAACUUUAUGAAAAUGUCAUGCAAUAAGUUAAAGUGCGGUGAAUAUAGGGGCCAUGGCAAAAGUUCAACGUCUUCUAAUUGAAUUUAACUACUAACAACCCUUUAAGUGCGAAUGAUGACAUUGUCUUUUUUGGAAAAUCCAAGGCAGAGGUUCAAAAAUGCUUUUCAUUUUUAAAAAUGACCGUUCCAGAAAACAUUAAAAGUUGUUCCCGUUCAUUAUUGUCUACAAAAACCACAAGUCGAUUGUGCCAUAGUAGGUUAUACCUCCUACCACUGUUCCACCUAAUGUACGGCUAUGAUGUCUUUCUAAAAUAAGCUCAUUUUUUCUAGAGCAAUGGAAAUACAAGUUGUAACUAACGGCCGUCAAGAUUUAAGUUUUUAUCACCCGGAAGGACCUAUUUCAGGUACUACAAGUAUUUACAGGUAGUAAAAGUUUCCGGGUACAACACUUGCACAGCAGCUAUAAAAAGUGGUUGGCAGUGUUUUUUAAAAAUUUUAAAAUCUUGUUGAAAAAGGGUACUUCUUAAAUUCUAAAAUCUACACAAAAAAUUAUUUCCAGAUCGUGUUUUUCAAAAUAUGAAAGUAAUAGAUUUAAGGUUUUCUCAAAACUUUAUAUAUGUAGAAUCAAAUACCUAAAGACUCAGAACUAAUAACAUUUUUCAGAAAUUAAAUAAGAUUCGAAAAUGAUUUAAAUUGUAUCUUGAAGAGAAUGAUUUGUGAUUUUGCAAAAUCUUCAUGCAAUUUAUUUUUACGAGAUAUUUUAAGCUUUGGCUUUAAAAACACCGGUUUUUGGUUGCCACCAGCGUUUUCAAAGGGGUGUAUUCUAUUACGGUAAUAAGUGACAAUCACACAGCUUUCCGUCUUUGUGAAAUGAGUCAAGCCAAGUCAUUUCGAUUGAAAGAUUUCAAAUAUUUCUAUAAAAUAUCGAAUUAACUGUGUUUUAAUAACAUUCUUACUUUUCUUGUUUUGUUCGAUUGUCGGAAGCUCUGUAGGUCAUAAGAAUGCUUUUUAACUUAACUUUUUAAGGCUGCUGAGAAAGUGUUCCAAUCGUAAGUUUAGGCGUCUGAUAGCUCUAUUGAGAAACUUGUUUAAAAAUGACUAUCACAUUAUUUUUGUGACAGCUUAAUCAACUUACAUAGAUGAAAACCUUUCUUUUUGAUCGUCGUAUGUGAAACAUUUAUCGUGCAAUUUGCAAUAAUAUCCUUUUUACCCGUAUCUUUUAAAAUAAUUUAGCUUGAAAAGUCAAGCGGUAUAUUCAAAAUUAAAUCUUUUAUUGAAAACCCUAAUCGUAGAGUAUAUACGUUCAAUGUCAACAUUUGAUGUGGGUGAUAAAAGAAUCUAUGAAAAAUAGAAGAAAGUCUUUAAAAACUAUAAUUUUUAUUAUAUCGUCAUAUUUAAAAUCAAAUAAAGUACAAAAUACCAUAGAUUUUAAUGUUUCAAGAACUUUUAAGAAUUUGUAUCAUUUCUUUUCUUCUUUUAUUUUAUUAAAACAAAAAGUUUCUUAUACUUUUCCUGUAAAUGACAAAAACAAAAUAGAAAAUACUUUCAAUACACUGCCACACAUAAAUUGUUCAAACUCCACUUAGCCAAAGUUAAGAAGAAAAAAAAAUAAACAAAAAUUAACAUAUCGGUCCAUUAAAACACAAAA